RNAcentral lists this ribosomal RNA (472 nucleotides) under uncultured bacterium. RNAcentral's name for it is "bacterial SSU rRNA". It matches the Rfam family "Bacterial small subunit ribosomal RNA", at positions 40 to 507 of the family's 1533-position model. The record is from RNAcentral.
CGGCAUGCCUUACACAUGCAAGUCGAACGGCAGGCACGGGGGCAACCCUGGUGGCGAGUGGCGAACGGGUGAGUAAUGCAUCGGAACGUGCCCAUCGAUGGGGGAUAACUGCGCGAAAGCGUUGCUAAUACCGCAUACGACCUACGGGUGAAAGCAGGGGACCGCAAGGCCUUGCGUCGAUGGAGCGGCCGAUGCCGGAUUAGCUAGUUGGUGAGGUAAAGGCUCACCAAGGCGACGAUCCCGUAGCUGGUCUGAGAGGACGACCAGCCACACUGGGACUGAGACACGGCCCAGACUCCUACGGGAGGCAGCAGGUGGGGAAUCUUGGACAAGUGGGCGAAAGCCUGAUCCAGCAAUGCCGCGUGUGGAAGAAGCCUCGGUUGUAAACCACUUUUGGCGGGAAAGAAAUGGUCUGUGCUAAUACCACGGAUUGAUGACGGUACCCGCAGAAUAAGCACCGGCUAACUACGUG